Molecule: long non-coding RNA, 1717 nt
Filed under: Medicago truncatula (barrel medic)
Lineage: Eukaryota; Viridiplantae; Streptophyta; Magnoliopsida; Fabales; Fabaceae
Description: long non-coding RNA (MTRU_LNC004269)
Source: RNAcentral
UCCGUUAGUUUUUAACCUUAAAUGUCUAAGGUGGACGAACUUUACAGGUGGUCUACCAUAAACUUUAUUAAAAUUUUUAAUUUAACCGUUUGAUCUUUUUUUUAAAUAAAGAUUGGAUCAUUAAGGGAUCUAUUGUAGCUUAUAAUGAACCACAACAACCUAAGUAUUUUCUUCAUCUUCUUCCCUUAUCAAUCUUCUUCAUUGCAUCUUUAUUAAUCUUCAUCUUAAACAAAAAUUCAGAAAAUUACAAAAUUCUAUAGCCCCAACACAUCAAGUUCCAUAAAAUAUUGCAAAAAAAAAAAAUCAAAACAUUCAAUAUGCAGAAAAAAAGCGUAUUUGUUGAAUUAAAAAAAAGAGGAAAGGAAAAAUGAAGAGGCAUGCGAUUAUGAUUUCCAGCAACAUGAAUUUCUUCUCCUUCAUCCUUCUCGUUCAUCUUCGUUAAACCCAAAAGAAAUCAUUUUCAAAAAUCUUUCAUAACAAAAUAGAUCCUCCACAGUCCACACAACAACCCUUUCAUCAAACAUACAAAUCAAAGACUCUCAUUGAAUCACCAACAAAAACAAGCUCAUGUAAGGAAUUGAAGAGGUGGUUUUUUUUUUUCUAACAACAGAAAGCGAUCUCCUUCGUCUCCAAUCUCAGAUCGAUUUGAUGGUCUGGGGUUUUUUUUUCUUCUUAUCAAAUUUGUAGAUCUGAAUUUAUUUUUUCUUCUUUCUUUUCUAAUGAAACGUGAAAAACAAUCCUGGAAGGAAAGGAGAAGAAGAAACAUUGCACAUCUGGAUUGUUUUCCUUUCUUUAUUGUUUAUGAAUUUUUGGCUUGGCAUUGUUUUUGGAUCAAGCGUUUGAACUUUGAAAACUCUGAAACUGUCCCUGUCAAAACCAUUUCUCUAUAGAACAAUCUCUCAUUCUCCAUUACAAUAAUGGGUGUCAAGAAUUUGUGGAUGAAUUAAAAUGGAUAUGUGUUGGAUUUUGAAUUAAAAUGGGUAUGACUAUGGAUGAAGAAAACACAAAUUUGUUGGUAUGACUAUAGAAUUUUUUUAUAUUUUUUAUUUCUAUUUUAAUUUUAAAUUUUAGGAAAUUCAAUAUAAAUAGUCCUAUGUUUUGAGUUCAUUGUAUAUCUGUGCGCUCUCUAAAUCCAGCUCUUGAUCACUCAUUUUAGAGGGGUUAACACUUUUUGAAGAAAAAAAAAAUAACGGAGAUGACCAAAAUAGUAAACGGCAGAAGAUUUAUGGGACCAAAUUGAGACACUUUAUAGUUAGGGGACCAAAGUGAAAACCAAAAAUAAGUUAAGGGAUCAAAGCAUGUAUUAAACCUUUUUUUUAUCACAUUGAAGAUUUUAUGCAUUUUUUUCGUGUUAAAGUGCUGAUUUUGUUUUUAGUUUCUUACUAUUUGGAAACUUGUUAAAUCAUCACUAAAUACUCAUAUUGUUAUUUGAUUUGUAUGAACUUUUGAGGCUUGGUUCAAAUAUGCCUAAGGUUAAGUAUGGUUAUCAGAUUAAGUUUGAAAUCCUUCUUGUCAUGAGACAUGACUAUUCUUGAGUUUCUAUCCAUCUUUAAAUUUUACGAUUGUGCUUUAUUGGUUUAAUUUGUAUCUAAUUAAUGUUUAUCUCUACAUUAAGUACCUUGCACAAAUUGAAAAGAAAGAAAAAUGGAUGAAUAGACUCUAUUUGAAAUUUGUAACACAAACUAGGCUUUUAGAUAGGCUAAUAGGCUAGGCCAAG